RNAcentral lists this long non-coding RNA (467 nucleotides) under Mus spicilegus (steppe mouse). Its description in RNAcentral is "lncRNA (ENSMSIG00000013871.1)". Lineage: Eukaryota; Metazoa; Chordata; Mammalia; Rodentia; Muridae. The record is from RNAcentral.
CCUGCUAGCUUAGAAGAAUGUCAUGUAAGUGGCACAUGGAUCACUGCAGUCACAGAGCAAGCCCUUCCUGUGACCAUGUUCUUUGAGUGGGUUUUAAGCAUCCAGUCCUCGCCCAAGUCAUUCCAGAAAAUGAAGUCAACAUUAUCAUGGGAGAAGGUCAAGAUCCCAAGAAGUCUCCAGCAGCUGGAAUUCCCCAGGCACCUCUGACUUGGCAUCUCUACCGUGUCUCAGGGUCCUCACACAACUUCCCUACUGCCACUCAGCAAAGUCCAGGAUACAGAGCAUACCUGCAUACAAGAAAACAACUACUUGUCUGAGUACAGUGGAUGAAAUGUGCACUGUGAGCCGCUGCAUGCAUGGAUACCACGCAGGAGAAAACAGCAACUACCUGUGAAGUAGACCCAUGGCUUACUUCUGUAAAAUGUCCAUUAUGGGUGGUUUGAUCUGUUUGCGUUGCUAUAAUAAAC